UCUGGACACUAAAUAAUUAUUAACUGACAUGUUGCACUUAAUAGUUUGUGGUCUCAGCUCUUGUUUAUAUAAAACGUUUGACCACAGCUCUAAAACACCUCACCAUGUAGGUGGGGAACUUGUCAUAGGAACUCAGAUGGUAGGACCCGUUGACUGGUUACUGCUAGCCCUUGGCAGCUUUGUCCUCACUUGCUGCCACCCCCCCUCCCCGCCAGGGCCCUGCAACAGACACUAGGUGCUCCUAUUUAGAGUUGGUCAUGGGUAAGGAAAAGAUAGAUUUGGCCACAGUCUCUCAAUACAUAGAGACACUUUAUGUAGAAAAAUCUCUUGAACCUAUUAGGAGUACUGCAUGAGCAAAAAGUGACUCAUGACCAGAUAUUUCUGAGGAUGGCAAAGGGGCAAGUGAGAGAAGCUGGAUUAAGUUAUUCCCCAGUGAAGAAUAUUACUUGUGUUAACAAAGCGUAAAUUUUCUGACACGUGACUUGCAAAGGAAAAUGCUAUUGAUUAGCUGAAGAACUCCUGAAGAUUGUAGCAAAACUUUAAUAGUGUAAUAAUCUUUGAAGAUUUUUUGAAAGAACACAUACAGAACAAGAGAAAGGAAGUUCUCCCAAGUUUGACUCAGGCCCUUCAGCAUAUGAAACCAGCAUACCAGAUGACCACGUAUGAUCCAGUGUUGUCAAAGGAGAAGCUGAGGAGGUGUUAGACUUCUUGGUUGCAAGUGGUGGCUGGGCUGCUACUGGACGUGCUGAGUGUGGUUCAACACCAUCUGAUGGUGUCAUGAUGAUACGGGAGGACGGCAGGGAAGUGCUGGGAGGAGAAGGUCCCUGGUGAGGGCUCCAGCCCUGGGCCUGGGCCCAGGGACAUAGGUAAGGACAGGCACUCCUGCCUUAGCGUCCAAAUGUUGCAUUUCCCAAGACCACCCUGGCCCGCCAUGCCCCAUCCUGUACCUGUGAAAACCCCGAGACCUUAGUGGGCACAGACACAAGCAGCUGGACAUUGACAGGAACACACCGGCGGAAGAAGACACAAGCGGCUGGAUGUCGAGAGGAACGUACCGGCGUAAGAGCACAUUGACAGCCCCAGCAGACUGGCAGGCCAUCAACUGGCAGAACGACACUAAGUUUGGCCAGGGUGGUCGGAGGAGAGCCUGGCCCUGAGUGGACCGACUCGAGGGGAAAACCACCUUCCCACUCCAUCUCCCUUCUGGCUCCCCCAUGGGCUGAGGGCUACUUCCACUGAAUAAAACCUUGCACUCAUUCUCCAAGCCCAUGUGUGAUCUAAUUCUCCUGGUACACCAAGGCAAGAACCCCGGGAUACAGAAAGCUCUCUGUCCUUGCGAUAAGCCAGAGUGUCUAAUUGAGCUGGUUAACACCAGCCGCCCACCGACGGCAAAACUAAAAGAGCACUCUGUAACACACGCCCACUGGGGCUUCAGGAGCUGUAAACAUCCACCCCUAGACACUGCCGUGGGGUUGGAGCCCCA
RNAcentral lists this long non-coding RNA (1483 nucleotides) under Homo sapiens (human). RNAcentral's name for it is "HSALNT0122389". The record is from RNAcentral. Lineage: Eukaryota; Metazoa; Chordata; Mammalia; Primates; Hominidae.